GGCAGGUACGCGACGCGCGUGGUGCCGGGGUACCGCACCCCCGGGUUCGGGUGUUCCACCUGCACCGGGGCACGGACAGGGAAGGGACAGGGACACAGGUGUCAGUGACUGACAGGGGCACAGGUGUCAGUGACAGGGGCACAGGUGUCAGUGACUGACAGGGGUACAGGUGUCAGUCACAGGGGCACAGGUGUCAGUCACAGGGGUACAGGUGUCAGUCACAGGGGCACAGGUGUCAGUGACUGACAGGGGCACAGGUGUCAGUGACUGACAGGGGUACAGGUGUCAGUGACUGACAGGGGUACAGGUGCCAGUGACUGACAGGGGCACAGGUGUCAGUGACAGGGGUACAGGUGUCAGUGACUGACAGGGGUACAGGUGUCAGUGACUGACAGGGGCACAGGUGUCAGUGACUGACAGGGGCACAGGUGUCAGUGACUGACAGGGGCACAGGUGUCAGUGACUGACAGGGGUACAGGUGUCAGUCACAGGGGUACAGGUGUCAGUCACAGGGGCACAGGUGUCAGUGACUGACAGGGGCACAGGUGUCAGUGACUGACAGGGGCACAGGUGCCAGUGACUGACAGGG
Poecile atricapillus (Black-capped chickadee) is the source of this 589-nucleotide long non-coding RNA. RefSeq lists it as uncharacterized. The record is from RefSeq and is a predicted model, not a curated record. Lineage: Eukaryota; Metazoa; Chordata; Aves; Passeriformes; Paridae. The transcript has 3 exons.